GGGUUUUUAGUAUGAUUUAGUAUGUGUGAUUGCAGAUCAUGAGGAGUUUUAAGCCUU
This 57-nucleotide transfer RNA is filed under the name Dirofilaria immitis (dog heartworm nematode). Its description in RNAcentral is "transfer RNA-Cys". The record is from RNAcentral. Lineage: Eukaryota; Metazoa; Nematoda; Chromadorea; Rhabditida; Onchocercidae.